GUUCCAGCCGCCGCGGUAAUACCGGCAGCCCGAGUGAUGGCCGAUAUUAUUGGGCCUAAAGCGUCCGUAGCUGGCCGAACAAGUCCGUCGGGAAAUCCACCUGCCCAACAGGUGGGCGUCCGGCGGAAACUGUGUGGCUUGGAACCGGAAGGCUCAGAGGGUACGUCCGGGGUAGGAGUGAAAUCCCGUAAUCCCGGACGGACCACCGAUGGCGAAAGCACUCUGAGAAGACGGCUUCGACAGUGAGGGACGAAAGCCAGGGUCUCCAACCGGAUUAGAUACCCCGGUAGUCC
This 293-nucleotide ribosomal RNA is filed under the name uncultured bacterium. RNAcentral describes it as "partial 16S ribosomal RNA". It matches the Rfam family "Archaeal small subunit ribosomal RNA", at positions 455 to 747 of the family's 1478-position model. The record is from RNAcentral.